UACGAAGGGGGGCUAGCGUUGUUCGGAAUUACUGGGCGUAAAGCGCACGUAGGCGGGUCGUUAAGUCAGGGGUGAAAUCCCGGAGCUCAACUCCGGAACUGCCUUUUGAUACUGGCGAUCUUGAGAUCGGAAGAGGUGAGUGGAAUUCCCCAGUGUAGAGGUGAAAUUCGUAGAUAUUGGGAAGAACACCAGUGGCGAAGGCGGCUCACUGGUCCGAUACUGACGCUGAGGUGCGAAAGCGUGGGGAGCAAACAGG
This 256-nucleotide ribosomal RNA is filed under the name uncultured bacterium. RNAcentral's name for it is "partial 16S ribosomal RNA". It matches the Rfam family "Bacterial small subunit ribosomal RNA", at positions 524 to 776 of the family's 1533-position model. The record is from RNAcentral.